Molecule: non-coding RNA, 781 nt
Filed under: Desmopachria sp. ITV9392
Lineage: Eukaryota; Metazoa; Arthropoda; Insecta; Coleoptera; Dytiscidae
Also listed under: 1 other name
Source: RNAcentral
AUAAAGUUUAAUUUUAGUUUAAUGAUUUAUUUAAUUUUUUAUUCACAUGUAAAUUAAUGUAAGAGGAGGAAUUAAAUUUAAAUAGUUUAAUUUACAUAAUUUAUUCGCAGUGUAAAAAUUUAAUUAAAUUUAAGAAAUUAAGAAUUAUAAAUAAAUUUAAGUAUUAACAAAAUUUGUGCCAGCAGUUGCGGUUAUACAAAUAAUGUAAGUAAAUUUUAUUGGUAAAUAAUUAAAAGUAGAAUAUAUAAAAUAAAAUUAAAUUUUUAAGGUGAAAUUUAAUUUUUAUAAUUUUUUAUAGUAUGAGAUUAUGAAAUUUAUUUAAAAAACUAGGAUUAGAUACCCUAUUAUUGUAAAUGUAAAUUUUAGAUAUCAAGGUAGUAAUAGUUAUGUUCUUGAAAUUUAAAAAAUUUGGCGGUAUUUUAGUCUAUUUAGAGGAACCUGUUCCAUAAUUGAUAGUCCACGAUUAGCAAUACUUAAUUUAAUUAGUUUGUAUAUCGUCGUUUUUAGGUAUUUUAUAAGAAUUUGAAUAUUUAAUAUUUAAGAUAAAAAUAUAUUUCAGAUCAAGGUGCAGCAUAUAGUUAAGGGGAAAUGGGUUACAAUGGAAUUAUUUAUAUGAAUUUGUGGGUUAAAUUUUGCAAUGAAGGUGGAUUUAAUAGUAAUAAAAUUAAUUUUAAUUUUAUGAUUUAAGCUCUAAGAUAUGUACAUAUCGCCCGUCACUCUUAUUAUAAGGUAAGAUAAGUCGUAACAAAGUAGAUGUAUUGGAAAAUGUAUCUAGAAAGAU